Molecule: ribosomal RNA, 747 nt
Filed under: Rhodosorus marinus
Lineage: Eukaryota; Rhodophyta; Stylonematophyceae; Stylonematales; Stylonemataceae
Description: partial Bacterial large subunit ribosomal RNA
Rfam family: Bacterial large subunit ribosomal RNA
Source: RNAcentral
AACCAGGAGGUUGGCUUAGAAGCAGCCACCCUUGAAAGAGUGCGUAAUAGCUCACUGGUCAAGUGAUUCCGCGCCGACAAUGUAACGGGGCUCAAGCACGCCACCGAAUUUGUGGCAUUCAUAUUAGUGGCAGGCCUUCGUGGUCCAGCCGUGUGGAUGGGUAGGAGAGCGUCGUGUGGCGAGUGAAGCGGCGGUGUGAACCAGCCGUGGACGCCACACGAGUGAGAAUGCAGGCAUGAGUAGCGAAAGACGGGUGAGAAACCCGUCCUCCGAAAGACCAAGGGUUCCAGGGCCAGGCUAAUCCGCCCUGGGUAAGUCGGGACCUAAGGCGAGGCCGACAGGCGUAGUCGAUGGACAACGGGUUGAUAUUCCCGUACUGGCGAAGAAACGCCCAAGCCAAUCCAGUAGUGCUAAGAGUCCUAACCCGGCUGAUCGAUCCCUUCGGGGGGAGACGGCCGGUCUAACGCUCGACCCCGUUCUGGUGCGGUUAGCGUAUUAACAGGUGUGACGCAGGAAGGUAGCUGAGCCGGGCGAUGGUUGUCCCGGUCUAAGGAUGUAGGCCGAGAGAUAGGCAAAUCCGUCUCUCAUAUAAGGCUGAGACCCGAUGGGUAGUCCUCACGGACGAAAUCAGUGAUCCUAUGCUGCCAAGAAAAGCAUCGACGCGAGGUUCCAGCCACCCGUACCCCAAACCGACUCAGGUGGUCAGGUAGAGAAUACCAAGGAGAUCGAGAGAAUCGUGGUUAAGGA